Ixodes scapularis (black-legged tick) is the source of this 244-nucleotide long non-coding RNA. RefSeq lists it as uncharacterized. Lineage: Eukaryota; Metazoa; Arthropoda; Arachnida; Ixodida; Ixodidae. The transcript has 3 exons. The record is from RefSeq and is a predicted model, not a curated record.
CCCCCCUGUUCCUCUACUGCCAUUGGAGACAGGAUGCUUUGUAAAAGAAGCAGUCAGACUGAUAAAAGGCCUGAGUGGUGCAACGCUUGAAGAAAUUGAAGCAGGAGCCAAGGGUUGGCUGAAGAACUGCCGAGCAUGCGUAAAUAGCGCCACAAAAAGGAAGCUUCCACGAGUCUGAGAGUUAAGAAACUUCCAUGAGUCAGCCGGAAACUUCCUCAAGUCAUCUGGAUUGCAAGCCAUUAUU